UAGAAUUUGGUGUAAUUGGGAGCACGAAGAAUUUUGGAUUCUUAGGAGUAGGUUCGAUUCCUAUAGUUCUAG
Molecule: transfer RNA, 72 nt
Filed under: Bos primigenius (aurochs)
Lineage: Eukaryota; Metazoa; Chordata; Mammalia; Artiodactyla; Bovidae
Description: tRNA-Gln
Rfam family: tRNA
About the family: Transfer RNA (tRNA) molecules are approximately 80 nucleotides in length. Their secondary structure includes four short double-helical elements and three loops (D, anti-codon, and T loops).
Source: RNAcentral